CUCGACUCACUCGCGACAAACGGGUGAGCUAGCAGCCAGGUGCUUGCUUGUAGCUCGAUACCAGAUGAUAUCAUUCGCGCAUGUGCCAACCAGCUGUGUUGUCCCUUCUUCUCUACCACUGACAGAAUCCUAAAACUGGAACUGAUGUUGCACGGUGUACUUAGUACGCGAAUUGACUAUAUGAAGCGCUACUGUCAAAUUAGACUGCCUGGAAAUACAAUUCUCCACAGUCUUCGACAAAUGUCGAUCGGAGGUUUUGAUUCAGCUUUACAAAUAAAUAUUGAAGCGAACAGUGAAAAACUAUCCAAUGAAGAGGUUACAAAAGGAUAAAGAAUUAUUGUUAAGAUCUAAUGGAAAAUAUUUCUACUUAUUUAUGUUGGAUUGGAGUUAUUACAGAAAAACUUUUGAUGUGAAACUUUUUUUACUGCAAAAACCUUACUCGCAAAUAAGAAGUACUCGGUUUCCUUCAAGCUAAAUGUGUACAAGUGUACGAUAGUGUACGUAUUCUCCAGUUCUUUUAUUUCUAGCAACAAUAACCAGGCACCAGGGCUUCGAUAAUAGCGUCAACGAAUUUAUUUAAAAUGGAUUAUUAUUUUACUCUUGAAUGUUUUCAAAAAAAAGGAAUUUAUAUAUAAACACAAUAUAGUGUUCCAAUUAAAAAAAAAAUUAAUACAGUAAUUAGAUUAAUUUAUUUGUUAUUUGAUAUCAAAUUAUGAUAUAGUUUUAAACAAGGUGCUUUAAUCGAAUGUUGAUAAAACUUUUAAGAGCCUAGAUAUUAUUGAGAUCAUAAAGAGAUUUCAUAGAAGAUAAAUUGAUGAUUAUCCGCGGCUCAGAUUCUUGUGGAGUGAAAUUGAUGUCAAGAGGGAGAUAAGAAAAAUUUCAGCCAGUUCAUAAUGACAGUGUGUACUUGAUAAUGUAGUUUUUAUCUGGUUAUUCAAUUCUUAUUAAAAUAAUUAUAUUGAAGUUUUACUUCUUAUGUCUAUAAUAGUUGAAACAUUUUUUUUUUUGUUUGAAGUC
Long non-coding RNA from Chelonus insularis, 1017 nucleotides. RefSeq lists it as uncharacterized. NCBI's taxonomy places the organism in Eukaryota, Metazoa, Arthropoda, Insecta, Hymenoptera, Braconidae. The record is from RefSeq and is a predicted model, not a curated record. The transcript is spliced from 4 exons.